Molecule: non-coding RNA, 313 nt
Organism: Caretta caretta (loggerhead turtle)
Lineage: Eukaryota; Metazoa; Chordata; Testudines; Cheloniidae
Source: RefSeq, a predicted model, not a curated record
AUGCAAGAGACAGUCAGAAAGACAAAUUAUUUUCAGGAAUAUUGAGAGCAUAUGGAAAUAAAACUGAAGUCAGGAUUAAGAGACUGACAUUCAGAGUGUAAAAUCACAUUUAAUCCUAAAAACAGCAUUCUCAUGCAUCAACUAUACCUUCAUAGGAGUCCUUUUAUGGAUGGACUCAUUUCCUAACAAGGAUGAUAGAAGUGGAGUGAAGUGGAAAAACGAAGAAGAAGAAAAGCAAUAGAGACAUAUAGUACAGGGCGGUUGGGACGAAGAAAAAGCCAACAAAAUGGACCAGAAGAGCAGAGCAACUCAG